Molecule: ribosomal RNA, 468 nt
Filed under: uncultured bacterium
Lineage: Bacteria
Description: partial 16S ribosomal RNA
Rfam family: Bacterial small subunit ribosomal RNA
Source: RNAcentral
GACGAACGCUGGCGGCGUGCCUAACACAUGCAAGUCGAACGGAAAGGCCCUGCGUUUGUGGGGUGCUCGAGUGGCGAACGGGGGAGUAACACGUGAGUAACCUGCCCUUGACUUUGGGAUAAAUUCAGGAAACUGGGGCUAAUACCGGAUAGGAGCUCCUGCUGCAUUGUGGGGGUUGGAAAGUUUCGGCGGUUGGGGCUGGACUCGCUGGUUAUCAGCUGGUUGGUGGGGUAGGGGCUUACCAAGCCUUUGACGGGUAGCCGGCCUGGGAGGGGUGCCGGCCACAUUGGGACUGCGAUACGGCCCAGACUCCUACGGGAGGCAGCAGUGGAGAAUAUUGCACAAUGGGCGGAAGCCUGAUGCAGCAACGCCGCGUGCGGGAUGACGGCCUUCGGGUUGUAAACCGCUUUCGCCUGUGACGAAGCGUGAGUGACGGUAAUGGGUAAAGAAGCACCGGCUAACUACGUG